RNAcentral lists this ribosomal RNA (253 nucleotides) under uncultured bacterium. RNAcentral describes it as "partial 16S ribosomal RNA". It matches the Rfam family "Bacterial small subunit ribosomal RNA", at positions 524 to 776 of the family's 1533-position model. The record is from RNAcentral.
UACAGAGGUCUCAAGCGUUGUUCGGAUUCAUUGGGCGUAAAGGGUGCGUAGGUGGCUUGGUAAGUUGAAGGUGAAAUCUCGGAGCUCAACUCCGAAACUGCCUUCAAUACUGCUGGGCUUGAGGAUUGUAGAGGAGAAUGGAAUUCACGGUGUAGCAGUGAAAUGCGUAGAUAUCGUGAGGAAGACCAGUGGCGAAGGCGAUUCUCUGGGCAAUUCCUGACACUGAGGCACGAAGGCCAGGGUAGCGAACGGG